GAUAGGGUAGGGUGAGGUAGCAGCGGCGGGGGUCUACGUUAGAGCGGCGGCGGUGCGAGCGCGUGCGAGCGGCGGCGGUAGGUAGGUAGGAGAGCUCGAGCGCGUGCGAGCGGCGGCGGUGCAGGCGGCGGCGUCCGCCGCAUGCACUUCGAGCUCGACGUGCGCGAGUUCGUGGGCCGCCGCCGGCAGUUGCCCGAGGAGCAGCCGGCGGACCGCCUGGGCCGGCGGAGGGGCCGGCAGCAGAGCCAGCGGCUGCGGCACGGCGAGAGGGUGAUCGGCGUGGUGGAGGGCGACGAGGGGUGCGAGCUCGAGCGCGAGUGGGAGCAGCUCCUGGUGAAGGUCCGCGUCCCGGAGCGGCAGCAGCCUAUGAUGGUCCGGUUGCGCGCGGCGCUGCUGCGGCUGGAGGGGCGGCAGCGGUUCGCGCAGCCCCUGGUGUAGAAGGCGAUGAAGGGGGCGCGGCGGCACGACGACCAGCUACGACACGAAAGGAGACAAAGGGGACAGAACUCGCCAAUACCCCCACGCCUCUAGAGCGAACCCACGACUAACCCCAAGAGGAAAGACUAAAACACAACUAAGCUAGUCGACCUGUUGCACUUCGAGCUCCUCCACCACUUCCCCUCGUCGGCGCUACGUCAACAAGUCCAUGAGCGGGUACUAGAUACCUUUAGUCAUAGGGAAGUAACGAAAGUUUAACUAUCGCUAAUCAUACAAAGAAUCUAUGACAUAGAAGAUAAUUCAAAAAUGACCAUUGAUGCUUUUAAUCUGGUACAUAACUGAAAGAAGGAUCACUACCUUAUCUAGAACGUCGUUAUAAUAACUGAACACUCUGAGGGUGAUCUAUUAAGUGAAGAACGAUCCGUAUCAUACGACAGAACGUUCAAUUAACGAAUUAAACAAGCUUACGAGUCAAUAAAAACCAAUUCAAACUUGAUUAAGAAUUCUUUAGGAGAGUACGUGGGGUCGGGAGAUUAGUUAUACAAGUUUACUACUUACCAGCUUGUACUCGUAAUAAAAGAGACAGAUCCGGAAAAAAGACAGUAAAAAGUACGUAACUUGAUUAACACGUCACCGAAACCUUUCUCUUCCAAACGAAAUAUCGACGAAUUCACAUAUGAAAGACUUAGUAACAUCUUAAUAUUGAAAAUUGAUUAUACGUGACGGAGGUGUACCGAUGGUACAAAGUAGAGUGUUUAGUCAUUCAAUGGAUUCUUAAUUGACUUGUGAUCGUAUAAGCAACUUGAAUCGCAGAAUUGGUGAUACUCGUUACGUAUAUAAAAUUAAAUAGUGUUGAAUUAAACUUUUCAACGACUUGGUUGUACGUCUGAUAGUAUACGGGUAGAUUUACGGUACUUUACGUUCGUCGGUAGAAGACGUACUUUAUUAAUAAAUACGAACCCAAAUACUUAGUGACCACGUUAAACAAGUGGAAUUCACGUUUUCGUCCUCAUCGUCGUUAUACAAACCCGUAUACACAAGAUACGGAUGAUUGUCUCUAUCGUCACAAUGUGACAAUGAAGUAAUGGAAUACUGAAUUCUUAGUCAAGACCUCAACAGUAUAUUAAACAACUCAACAGUAUAUUUGCCAGCAGAGAAAGCUCGCGUUUCUGCCCAGACGCCACCUACGACCCAACGUCGAGUCCAGCUACCACGCCGGUACCUGUGUUGGAGGAGUUGGAGCUGUUGGUUACGCAGCCGUCCCCUCGUUGAUUAAGGACUUGGAAACGAAGAGGAGAAAAUUAAACUUCAAGAAUCAAAUCAAGGUCUAAAGAUACGUACGGUGGAACUAUACAAACUACAAGUAGCUAGCAGGUCUAAAUGAUCGUGUGGUCUAUCUUAAACCCUGACUACGGUAAGUUAUCUAAAAGAUCUGUAAAAUAACACAGAGUACGACUUUUUCUUUUACGUGUUACUCGAACAAACUGAAAAAACUACGAAUCUCAUAUGAACUAGUCCCCCGUCACAAUAAAGGACACUAGAAAGUACAGUAAACGAUCACACUACGAAGUUCUACUGUUUAAAUUUUUGGAUUUGAUAACAUUUAUUCGCAAGACGUAGAACUCGUAAAUUUACACUCGUGAAUUGGUAACAUGUCGAAAACGUAUAAAACAAAACAUAAAGAAAAUAUUUGAUCGCCCCACUGGGCACGUAAACGCGCCGAUCUAAAAUGUUUUCUACAUAGAGAGGAUUAUAUCUCUAACAGAACUUAUGAGAUGGACCUGGUAACAAAGAAUAUACUUGUACAAAAAAAGGACCUUUUGUUAUGAAACUUUUGUUUGGUAAUUACCUUAUAAGGAACUACAUUAGUUCGAUUUCGAAAUUUUACAACUAUCAGUAAGAAUUUUUACAAAUUCACAUGUUUAAAAGAGAUAUCGAAAAUCCUAAGUAACAGAUAUCGAUUAAUCUUUGGUUUCCUCAUUGUACAACUCCAAUACGAAAUUCUUUAGGAAAGUGUAUUAAAUUUUCAAGUUUAGAUUUGUAACAAUCUUCGAGAGAAGAUGUGACAAGAGUAGUUUCGUAAAGAAAAAUUUAGUACGUAUAUCAAAAGUAGAUCAUUAAUUCACUUUGAUUAUACUGAAUAGUGCAUAAACUAUAAUAAAGAAUGAAACUUAUAAAUGAGGACAUACUACAUUGGUAAGGUACUACCGAAGUCUAUCAAGAAUUGUACUCUUUCUGUAUUUUAAACUCAACGGUUUUGAGUUGAGAGAAGGUGUCAGGGUAGGUUGAGUUAGAACAGCUAUGUAUAUAAUGUAAAAAGAUACAAAACAACUGUUUCGUUGGUUGCAUAGAACUAUGUAGACGACGUACAAUGUAAGUGUACCCAAUAGGCAAAAGUAUAACACGUACCAUGUCUUUUAUUUACUUUAAGAUUAAAAUAAACUUUGACCUAGGCACAAAGUCGUGACAAAAUCAAGGUUUCAACGAAUCUAAACAAAUACAAGUUUUUCUUACAUGUAAUGUAAUAUAAUACAGAAUUUUUAUUCGUCCCACAUAGAAAUAAGACAAUUUUAUCAAAUCAAUCCUAGGACCUGUACUUUCUACAUGGAGUGGAAGGAGGAUCUUGAUUACAUAUAUGUACACUUUUAUCGACCCAGAAUGUAACGCGAAGGUGGAAAUUAAUAAAGAUAGUUCAAUGCAAAUGGCGUUUUAAGUCCGGGGUAAACCUCAAGAUAUUUCACACUAUAAGAGCGUUUUAAUUUUUUUUCCUCAUUUCGAACUAUAAGGAUUUUUUAUAAUAUUAAAUUUAGUUUACGGGUGGCAUUUUUUUUAAUUUAGUUUACGUAAUGAAGAACAAUCCCUAAAGUAUACGUCUAGCCUGACGAAAGGAGAAAGAAAAGCAUGAAAAGAAAUCGAUACCUGUACCUGCACUGUAACCAAAUCCACCGUCCAAACGGAGACACAUCGCGACCGAAACAAAAAAAAAGAGGAUAAUCUUAAGUUUAGUCUUAACCCGUACACAACAAAACGCACGUUCAUAGGAAAAAGUAUAUGCAACUGACACCAACGGGAAAAGGUACGUAUAAAGGCGUAGUAUUAUUAGAAGAAGAAGAUUGAAAGAAGAAAGGGUAAAAUGUCUAAACGAAUUCUAGUGCCUUCGAACCCAACUACCUCACGAACAUAAAUCAAAAACAAAAAUAGAACACUUUGAACGAUGGAUACCUACUUUGACACAUUAUAACUACUUUGAUGCACAUACAUACCUACUUUGAACGAUGAUAACAAUUGUACACAACCUAUAUAUACACAAGUACUGAUAACUAUUAUACACAACUUAUACGAUAUAACC
RNAcentral lists this ribosomal RNA (3787 nucleotides) under Triticum aestivum (bread wheat). RNAcentral describes it as "partial small subunit ribosomal RNA". Lineage: Eukaryota; Viridiplantae; Streptophyta; Magnoliopsida; Poales; Poaceae. The record is from RNAcentral.